RNAcentral lists this ribosomal RNA (445 nucleotides) under bacterium. Its description in RNAcentral is "bacterial SSU rRNA". It matches the Rfam family "Bacterial small subunit ribosomal RNA", at positions 224 to 666 of the family's 1533-position model. The record is from RNAcentral.
GAUGACUAUGCGUCCCAUUAGUUAGUUGGUAAGGUAACGGCUUACCAAGGCAGCGAUGGGUAGGGGCCCUGAGAGGGGGAUCCCCCACACUGGUACUGAGACACGGACCAGACUCCUACGGGAGGCAGCAGUGAGGAAUAUUGGACAAUGGGCGGGAGCCUGAUCCAGCCAUGCCGCGUGCAGGAAGACGGUCCUAUGGAUUGUAAACUGCUUUUGUACGGGAAGAACAAGGGGCACGUGUGCCCUUCUGACGGUACCGUAAGAAUAAGGAUCGGCUAACUCCGUGCCAGCAGCCGCGGUAAUACGGAGGAUCCGAGCGUUAUCCGGAAUCAUUGGGUUUAAAGGGUCCGUAGGCGGGCCAUUAAGUCAGGGGUGAAAGUCUGCGGCUCAACCGUAGAAUUGCCCUUGAUACUGGUGGUCUUGAGUUAUGGUGAAGUAACUAGAA